Molecule: unclassified non-coding RNA, 302 nt
Filed under: uncultured Sordariomycetes
Lineage: Eukaryota; Fungi; Ascomycota; Sordariomycetes
Description: sequence contains ITS1
Rfam family: 5.8S ribosomal RNA (bases 1-105)
Source: RNAcentral
GAAAUGCGAUAAGUAGUGUGAAUCGCAGAAUCCAGUGAAUCAUCGAAUCCUUGAACGCACAUGGCGCCCGCCAGCACUCUGGCGUGCAUGCCGCUUCGAGCGUCAUUUCAACCAUCAAGCCCCCGGGCUUGCGUUGGGGACCUGCGGCUGCCCGCAGGCCCUGAAAACCAGUGGCGGGCUCGCUGUCACCCCGGUCGUAGUAGUAUCAUCUCGUCCAGGGCGUGGCUGCGGGCUCCGGCCGUUAAACCCUCUCAAACCCAAAGGUUGACCUCGGAUCAGGUAGGAAUACCCGCUCAACUUAA